RNAcentral lists this ribosomal RNA (253 nucleotides) under uncultured bacterium. RNAcentral's name for it is "partial 16S ribosomal RNA". It matches the Rfam family "Bacterial small subunit ribosomal RNA", at positions 524 to 776 of the family's 1533-position model. The record is from RNAcentral.
UACAGAGGUCUCAAGCGUUGUUCGGAUUCAUUGGGCGUAAAGGGUGCGUAGGUGGCGUCGUAAGUCGGGUGUGAAAUUUCGGAGCUUAACUCCGAAACGGCAUUGGAUACUAUCUGGCUAGAGGGUCGGAGGGGAGACUGGAAUUCUCGGUGUAGCAGUGAAAUGCGUAGAUAUCGAGAGGAACACCAGUGGCGAAGGCGAGUCUCUGGACGACUCCUGACACUGAGGCACGAAAGCUAGGGGAGCAAACAGG